Molecule: ribosomal RNA, 406 nt
Filed under: bacterium enrichment culture clone ALO1_GLFRUDD03GDRSB
Lineage: Bacteria
Description: bacterial SSU rRNA
Rfam family: Bacterial small subunit ribosomal RNA
Source: RNAcentral
GAGUUUGAUCUUGGCUCAGAUUGAACGCUGGCGGCAUGCCUUACACAUGCAAGUCGAGCGGAUGACGGGAGCUUGCUCCUUGAUUCAGCGGCGGACGGGUGAGUAAUGCCUAGGAAUCUGCCUGGUAGUGGGGGACAACGUUUCGAAAGGAACGCUAAUACCGCAUACGUCCUACGGGAGAAAGCAGGGGACCUUCGGGCCUUGCGCUAUCAGAUGAGCCUAGGUCGGAUUAGCUAGUUGGUGGGGUAAUGGCUCACCAAGGCGACGAUCCGUAACUGGUCUGAGAGGAUGAUCAGUCACACUGGAACUGAGACACGGUCCAGACUCCUACGGGAGGCAGCAGUGGGGAAUAUUGGACAAUGGGCGAAAGCCUGAUCCAGCCAUCGCCGCGUGUGUGAAGAAGGUC